Molecule: unclassified non-coding RNA, 413 nt
Filed under: soil metagenome
Description: partial contains 5.8S ribosomal RNA, internal transcribed spacer 2, and large subunit ribosomal RNA
Rfam family: 5.8S ribosomal RNA (bases 1-120)
Source: RNAcentral
GAUGAAGAACGUAGCGAAAUGCGAUAAGUAAUGUGAAUUGCAGAAUUCAGUGAAUCAUCGAAUCUUUGAACGCACCUUGCGCUCUUUGGUAUUCCGAAGAGCAUGCCUGUUUGAGUGUCAUGAAAAUAUCAACCUUGACUUGGGUUUUGUGCUCUAGUCUCGGCUUGGAAUUGGGUGCUUGCCGCUUUUACGAGCGGCUCACCUUAAAUGUAUUAGCUGGAUCUGUCUUUGAGACUUGGUUUGACUUGGCGUAAUAAGUAUUUCGCUAAGGACAUUCUUCGGAGUGGCCUCGUUUCUAGGACGCUUGUCCGCUUUCCAAUACCAGUUCCACCUCGUGGACAUGACUUUUUAUUAUCUGGCCUCAAAUCAGGUAGGACUACCCGCUGAACUUAAGCAUAUCAAUAAGCGGAGGA